This 570-nucleotide long non-coding RNA is filed under the name Mytilus galloprovincialis (Mediterranean mussel). Lineage: Eukaryota; Metazoa; Mollusca; Bivalvia; Mytilida; Mytilidae. The record is from RNAcentral.
CGGGCUGCAGCUCGUAUACAUCAUACUUAAAUCUUAUUGGACGUUAUCAAGUUAUGUUUGAGGAUAAUGACACUAAACUUUAAGACAUCACAUGACAAAUAUUAUUCUCAAAUGAAACUGGGAAGGGCGAGGUUCUACCGAGCCCUUCCACAGUUUUGCGCCGAGUUAAAAAAAGUUUAUAUUUUUAUGACAUUGACCUAUAAAUAUUGUUUUUAUACGCAACUUUAACAAAUACAUUGAUAGCUUUUUAAAUAGUAACACAAUUGUCAAACUUAUUUUUAUCCCUUAAUGAACCCCUGGUUGUAGAGAAAGUGUUCCAUGAUGAAAUUGACAUUUCACAAAAUAUAGCUAUGUUACUAUAUUUAGGAAAUAACCACAACUAGUGCAGUAAAAAAAAAUAUGAUGUGUGUGAGUGGAGGGAAUUCGAUAAAGUGAAAAGGUCAAAGGCUGAACGUUUUUACCAAUCUGGGAAAAUUCAAAUUGAAAUAAGACGUGCAAUUAUAUAGUCAAGAAUUUUGAUUAUAACUUGUGCUUCAUUUUAAUAAUUUUAUGCACUUAAACUUUUGAAGA